GUGCCAGCAGCCGCGGUAAUACGAAGGGGGCUAGCGUUGCUCGGAAUCACUGGGCGUAAAGGGUGCGUAGGCGGGUUUUUAAGUCAGAGGUGAAAUCCUGGAGCUCAACUCCAGAACUGCCUUUGAUACUGGGAAUCUUGAGUAUGGAAGAGGUGAGUGGAACUGCGAGUGUAGAGGUGAAAUUCGUAGAUAUUCGCAAGAACACCAGUGGCGAAGGCGGCUCACUGGUCCAUAACUGACGCUGAGGCACGAAAGCGUGGGGAGCAAACAGGAUUAGAUACCCUCGUAGUCC
RNAcentral lists this ribosomal RNA (292 nucleotides) under uncultured bacterium. Its description in RNAcentral is "partial 16S ribosomal RNA". It matches the Rfam family "Bacterial small subunit ribosomal RNA", at positions 505 to 796 of the family's 1533-position model. The record is from RNAcentral.